CACGUAGGAGGCAAACGUUAUCCGGAUUUACUGGGCGUAAAGCGCGUGUAGGUGGUUCUGUAAGUAGGGCGUGAAAGCUCCUGGCUCAACUGGGAGAGGCCGUUCUAAACUGCAGAGCUAGAGGAUGGUAGAGGGAGGUGGAAUUCCGGGUGUAGCGGUGGAAUGCGCAGAUAUCCGGAGGAACACCAGUGGCGAAAGCGGCCUCCUGGACCAUUCCUGACACUCAGACGCGAAAGCUAGGGUAGCAAACGGGAUUAGAGACCCCGGUAGUCCUAGCCCUAAACGAUGUAGACUUGGCGUCGGUGGCUUAAUCGUCAUCGGUGUCGUAGCUAACGCGAUAAGUCUACCGCCUGGGGACUACGGCCGCAAGGUUAAA
Molecule: ribosomal RNA, 376 nt
Filed under: uncultured bacterium
Lineage: Bacteria
Description: bacterial SSU rRNA
Rfam family: Bacterial small subunit ribosomal RNA
Source: RNAcentral